RNAcentral lists this ribosomal RNA (489 nucleotides) under uncultured bacterium. Its description in RNAcentral is "partial 16S ribosomal RNA". It matches the Rfam family "Bacterial small subunit ribosomal RNA", at positions 30 to 506 of the family's 1533-position model. The record is from RNAcentral.
AUUGAACGCUGGCGGCAGGCCUAACACAUGCAAGUCGAACGGUAACAGGAAGCAGCUUGCUGCUUUGCUGACGAGUGGCGGACGGGUGAGUAAUGUCUGGGAAACUGCCCGAUGGAGGGGGAUAACUACUGGAAACGGUAGCUAAUACCGCAUAACGUCGCAAGACCGAAGAGGGGGACCUUAGGGCCUCUUGCCAUCGGAUGUGCCCAGAUGGGAUUAGCUAGUAGGUGGGGUAACGGCUCACCUAGGCGACGAUCCCUAGCUGGUCUGAGAGGAUGACCAGCCACACUGGAACUGAGACACGGUCCAGACUCCUACGGGAGGCAGCAGUGGGGAAUAUUGCACAAUGGGCGCAAGCCUGAUGCAGCCAUGCCGCGUGCAUGAAGAAGGCCUUCGGGUUGUAAAGUACUUUCAGCGGGGAGGAAGGGAGUAAAGUUAAUACCUUUGCUCAUUGACGUUACCCGCAGAAGAAGCACCGGCUAACUCCGU